This 916-nucleotide ribosomal RNA is filed under the name uncultured marine archaeon. RNAcentral's name for it is "bacterial SSU rRNA". It matches the Rfam family "Archaeal small subunit ribosomal RNA", at positions 1 to 922 of the family's 1478-position model. The record is from RNAcentral.
UUCCGGUUGAUCCCGCCGGAGGCUACCGCUAUUGGAGUUCGAUUAAGCCAUGCGAGUCGCGAGAAAUUAGAUUCUCGGCGUACCGCUCAGUAACACGUGGGUAACCUGCCCUAUGCUGGAUAAUAACCUCGGGAAACUGAGAAUAAUGAUCCAUAGUUCACUACGCCUGGAACGGUGAGUGGAUGAAAGCUCCGGCGGCAUAGGAUGGGCCUGCGGCGUAUCAGGUUGUAGGGGGUGUAACGUACCCUCUAGCCCUCUACGCGUACGGGUGUUGGGAGACAUAGCCCGGAGAUGGAUUCUGAGACACGAAUCCAGACCCUACGGGGUGCAGCAGGCGCGAAAACUUGGCAAUGCGAGAAAUCGUGACCAGGGAACUCCAAGUGCAUGGGGUAAGACCCAUGCUUUUCUUGACUCUAAAUAGGUCUUGGAAUAAGGGGUGGGUAAGGACGGUGCCAGCCGCCGCGGUAAUACCGGCGCCUCAAGUGGUAGUCGCUUUUAUUGGGCCUAAAACGUCCGUAGCCGGUCUGAUACAUUCGUGGGUAAAUCAACCAGCUUAACUGGUUGAAUUCUGCGAGGACGGUCAGACUUGGGACCGGGAGAGGUGUGGGGUACGCUCAGGGUAGGGGUAAAAUCCUGUCAUCCUGAGCGGACCACCUGUUGCGAAGGCGCCACACUAGAACGGAUCCGACGGUCAGGGACGAAGCCUAGGGGCACGAACCGGAUUAGAUACCCGGGUAGUCCUAGGUGUAAACGCUGUGGACUUGAUGUUGGGGGUGCUCCGAGCACUCUCAGUGUCGAAGCGAAGGUGAUAAGUCCACUGCCUGGGAAGUACGGUCGCAAGGCUGAAACUUAAAGGAAUUGGCGGGGGAGCACUGCAACGUGUGGAGCGUGCGGUUUAAUUGGAGUCAACGCCGGA